GAUGAAGAACGUAGCGAAAUGCGAUAAGUAAUGUGAAUUGCAGAAUUCAGUGAAUCAUCGAAUUUUUGAACGCACAUUGCGCCCCUUGGUAUCCCGAGGGGCAUGCCUGUUCGAGCGUCAUUUCACCACUCAAGCCUGGCUUGGUGUUGGGCGACGUCCCCUUUGGGGACGCGCCUCGAAACGCUCGGCGGCGUGGCACCGGCUUUAAGCGUAGCAGAAUCUUUCGCUUUGGAAGUCGGGGCCCCGUCUGCCGGAAGACCUACUCGCAAGGUUGACCUCGGAUCAGGCAGGGAUACCCGCUGAACUUAAGCAUAUCAAUAAGCGGAGGA
This 329-nucleotide unclassified non-coding RNA is filed under the name soil metagenome. Its description in RNAcentral is "partial contains 5.8S ribosomal RNA, internal transcribed spacer 2, and large subunit ribosomal RNA". The stretch from base 1 to 120 matches the Rfam family "5.8S ribosomal RNA", at positions 35 to 154 of the family's 154-position model. The record is from RNAcentral.